UACGUAGGUGGCAAGCGUUGUCCGGAAUUAUUGGGCGUAAAGGGUGCGCAGGCGGUCUCUUAAGUCUGUCUUAAAAGUGCGGGGCUUAACCCCGUGAGGGGACGGAAACUGGGAGACUGGAGUAUCGGAGAGGAAAGCAGAAUUCCUAGUGUAGCGGUGAAAUGCGUAGAUAUUAGGAGGAAUACCAGUGGCGAAAGCGGCUUUCUGGACGACAACUGACGCUGAGGCACGAAAGCCAGGGGAGCAAACGGG
This 252-nucleotide ribosomal RNA is filed under the name Caecibacter massiliensis. Its description in RNAcentral is "partial 16S ribosomal RNA". It matches the Rfam family "Bacterial small subunit ribosomal RNA", at positions 524 to 776 of the family's 1533-position model. The record is from RNAcentral. Lineage: Bacteria; Bacillati; Bacillota; Negativicutes; Veillonellales; Veillonellaceae.